UACGUAGGGACCGAGCGUUGUCCGGAAUCAUUGGGCGUAAAGAGCGUGUAGGCGGGCUGUCAAGUCUGGGGUGAAAUGCCGCGGCUCAACCGUGGAACUGCCUUAGAUACUGACGGCCUCGAGGAAGGUAGGGGCAUGCGGAACUGUAGGUGGAGCGGUGAAAUGCGUUGAUAUCUACAGGAACUCCGGUGGCGAAAGCGGCGUGCUGGACCUUUUCUGACGCUGAGGCGCGAAAGCUAGGGGAGCAAACGGG
RNAcentral lists this ribosomal RNA (253 nucleotides) under uncultured bacterium. Its description in RNAcentral is "partial 16S ribosomal RNA". It matches the Rfam family "Bacterial small subunit ribosomal RNA", at positions 524 to 776 of the family's 1533-position model. The record is from RNAcentral.